UCCGAGGUCUAGGGACGCGGCAGAUAUACCUUGAAGUCUCCAAAGUUGUCCCGGCUCACGGAUAGCGCGACUGAUAAGGAACACCUGGAUCUGCACACGAAAAACAUGUAUAGAGAGUUGUAUGAGUACACCACAAUCGGUUCCCAGUAAGUGCCAAGCCUAUCCUCGGUCGAGUAGUGAUGAGGUCAGGUCAUGGCCCUACUAGUAUAUAUAUAUAAUAAUAAAGCAAGACAAUAAUAAAAUAUCGAAGUAAAAUAAGGACUGGAAUUUUUAACAAGAAAGUAUUCUUAGAAGGUAACGGCUCAGUACACAGAAAUACAAUAGAGGAUCUCCCGAGAUACCGUCUCAUAGUCCCAAACGUAAAUGUGCAGGGGGAUCUACCGGAAUACCAUUCCGUAGUCCCAAAGUAAAUAUGCAGAAUAGGGGGGGAUCUAUCAGAAUACUGUUCCGUAGUCCCAAUGUAAAUAUACAAAACAGGGUGAUCUACCGGAAUACCAUUCCGUAGUCCCAAAGUAAAUAUACAAAGCAGUGGGAUCUACCGGAAUACCGUUCCGUAGUCCUAAAGUAAAUAUGCAGAAUAGGGGAAUUUACCGAAAUACCGUUCCGUAGUCCCAAAGUAAAUAUGCAGCUCAAAUAAUAAAACUCGACAAUUACUACACGAAAUCUUACAAAUUAGACCAAGUACAAGUCAAGGAAAAACACGAAAUCAACUAGGCAUGCUUCAUAGAGUUCAAUUAAGCAGCUAAGGCACGUAGACAUGCGAGAUUAGACUAAGCAAGAUAGCUACACAUAUUGGGAUAGUUCAAAUAAGAAUGAAGACAUGCUAAUACUCAUUUAAACGGUAUAACUCAAUUUAAAAGAAGAAUAGAUUACUACUCAGUAAAAUAAGUUGGGGUUUUUACUAUAAUUAGCCCGUGUACGUACUCGUCACCUCACAUACACGGCGCUCACAUAUCAAAACAGUACCAAAUCCUAAGUGGAUUUCCCCCACGCAAGGUUAGGCAAGCCACUUACCUCAAACCAAGCUCAAUCAAUCAGUAAUAAUGCCUUUUCCACGAAUAACCGACUUCGAAUGACCCAAAUCUAGCAAAAACAAUUACAUAUCAUAAAUACAACUAUAAUAAACUAAUAUAAUUAAUAAAAUCAAAAUUUUAAUAAAAAUUCAGAAAUAUAUCCUAAAACGUUGACCUGGGCCCAUGUCUCAGAAUCGGGUAAAAGUCACAAAAUAUGAACACCCAUUCACUCACGAGUCCAACCAUACCAAAAUUAGCCAAUUCCGAUCACAACUUGACCUUCAAAUCCUCAAUUUAUGGUUUAUGAAGUUUCUACAAUUUUCCCAAAUUUACAUCUGAAAGUAAUAAUUAAAUGAUAAAAUCAGUGAUAUGUUCAUGCAUAUUAACCAAAUCCGAGUUAGAAUCACCUACCCCGAAGAAUUUCUUGAAAAACCCACGAAAAGUCGUCUCAAACCGAGCUCCCAAAGUCCAAAAAUAAAAUAAUAACCUAAACCUCGAAUAUAUAGUACAUCCUCGGAACUCCCAAUGUGUGGUCCGCACAAUUCCAUGUGUGGCUGCAUCUCCCAACUUCUGCGGUCGCACAAAAAUUGUGCGGCCGCACUCUUGGUGACUGCACUGCCAGGCUUUAGUAUUUUGGCCAUAACUUUCUCUAUAAAUGUCCAAAUGAUGACUUAUUUAUAUUUCUGGAAACUAGAAACAAAGGGCUACAUCUUUUGUUUUUGAAUCAUAUCACAAUUCCUCAUAGAUCAAAAGAUAUAAACUUCCGAAUGCGGACCAGCGAAUCUGAGAGUUCAUGAGUGCGGCCGCACACAAAAUUGUGCGGUUCGCACACUCCUCUGCGGAAUGAAGUGCGGCCGUACCAAAAUUGUGCAAUCCGCACAACUCCCUUGAGGUCCGCACUUCCCUUUUGCCUCAGCACUCCCAAAAUGUGCGAUCCGCACUUCCAAAGACCCCCAGAACAACAUUAGAGUGUCGAAAAGCCCGUACUCGCUCAAAACUCACCCCGAAACUCACCCGAGGCCACCCGAAACCUCAACCAAACAUACCAACCAAUCCUAAAACACCAUACGAACUUAGUCGAGAGCUCAAAUCAUAUCAAACAAUGCUAAAAUUAUGAAUCNNNNNNNNNNNNNNNAACCAAAACACAUCUGAUUGAGCCCAAAUUUUGCACACAAGUUAAAAUCAACAUUACGGACCUACUCUAACUUUCGAAAUCAUAAUGCAACCCCGAUAUCAAAAAUUCCACUACCGGUCCAAAAUCCCAAAAAAUUAACUUUCGCCAUUUCAAACCUAAUUGAGCUACAGACCACCAAAAAACAAUUCGGACACGCCCCUAAGUCCAAAAUCACCCGACGGAGCUAACAGAAAUGGCAGAAUUCCAUUAUGGAGCCGUCUUCACACUAUUCUACCUACGGUCCAAAUCUUAUGGCUUAAACCUCCAUUUAGGGACUAAGUGUCCCAAAAUACUCCAAACACCAAAACGAAACCUACCGGUAAAUCACAAUAGCAGAAAUAGAUAUGGAAGAAGUAGUUAAUAGGAGAUCAGGGCUAUAACUCUCAAAACAACCGGUCGGGUCGUUACACUUCAUUGGUAUUGCAGUGCUCUCCUGGUUGAUCGACUGUUGAUGUUCGAAUUUUGCUAUGUGGCACAAGAAUUAUGGAAGCAUUUCUCGUGGAAUAAUUAUAUACGAAGGAUGCGUAAGUCAUUUGAGGGGUGGAUAUAGGAUUAGAUCUAGUGAUUCUUUUGUAUUCUUAUGGUUUGGAGGCUGGGAGUCUCAGAGGCAGAUUGUUUCUUGGUUGCGGACUGCAAAGAUAUGGCCAAGUUAGCCAGCUGAUGAUAUGUGUUGUGCAUAAGUUCCAGUGGAUCUUUGGAAGGGUUAUAUACUGAUUUCGGAAGGAUCGGAAUCGAUUUAGAGGCCAUUGGUAGGCCUAAUGUGGAUGUGUAUUCUACCCCCGGUCGUAUUUGUUGACUCAGAACGGCUAUUGUUGAGGGGUGUGCCAUUCAGUUAGAGUUAAGCUUGUUCGUGUUAUGAGAUAAUCUAUGUGUUACUCUUCUCUGCUAUGUUGGAUUGUGAUCUGUUGGUUAUUUGAACACAUGAUGCAGUUCUAUAGGACCUUGUGGCGGAAUUCGAGCAAGAUAGUACUUGUGAUGUCGAAUGGUUUUGUUUCACCUUGGUUAUGGUCUUUCCUGUUGGUGGUAUAUUGUGCUAGCCAUUCCUCCGUGGUUAUGGUCAUGCCUUUUGUGUGUUUGUUGUUGAUUUGCGUAGGGUUGUGGAUUUCUAGCAUUUUGGCUCGAGGUAUUUCAUGUGGACCGGUAUUGGAUGAGGUCAUGCACUGCGGCAGAGUUAUAUUGGGAUAUGAUCCUUUUUGUGAGGUUCGUGUAUUUUAGUGCUACUAUGUGUGAUGAGUUUACAGCGUGUGCUCGUGGUGGUACUUGCUGAGCUUGCGGGAUGGUUCUCUCAUUUGAAUAAUAAUUUAAAAUAAUUUUGGUUUAUAAUAAAUAGGGUGUAUACCUUUGCUAUAGGAGGUAAACUUUCCUUAAAGGAGAAAUUUUCUGUAACCACCAUUGUUUAGUGGCUAUUAACUUCCCAUAGCUACCAUAUACAUAAUUACUUCCUAUAGCUACUAUUCAGUUGUUACGGUAGUGUAUUCGCUGUAUUCGCGCUGCUGUAUUCAUGGAUACAACAGUAAAAAGCGCCUAAAAAUCAGGUGCAGUCCAGCUGUACGCGCAUGUAUUCACAUAUAUUCGCGCCAUGUAUUCAUGAAUACAAUAACGACAAUCACCUUAAAAUAGGUCUGUCUGGCUGUCUAAUAACGGGAAUAAUAUCAAUUAGAAUGAUACACUCCUAAUAUAACUCAACAAAAUCAAUUCUAACAUGCCUCAUUAUCAACCAAAUUAAUUAGAAUAAUUUUUCAGUUGUAUAUAACUGUUGUAUUUAUCUUUUGUAUUUAGUGUGUUUCAAUAUUUUUUUUACUGUUGCAUUUAUUAGACUCAAUGUUUGUAUUUACUGUAUUCGCUAUUUUAUAUUUAGUGUAUUCAAAUGUAUUUGUAUUAAUAGUAUUUUAGUUAUUCCUAAUACAUGUUAUUACUGUUGUAUUCAGUAUAUUUUAUUGGUUAUAUUCACUGUAUUUCUAUUUGUAUUCAGUGUAUUUUACUGUAUUUUAAAAUUAAAUGUAUUCACUAUUUGUAUUCUAUUCUAUUUUAAUAUUUGUACUCAGUGUAUUUCAAUGUUUAUAUCAUGUAUUCAUGCAUAUCGUAUGUACAAUAUGCAUAAAUACAUGUGUAUUCAGUUGUAUUAAAAAAUACAGACCUUUUAAAUACAUAAAUACAGGCAAACAAAAUAUAUUUAUAAAAUAUAUAAUGUGUUUGAGUGAAUUUGUAUAGAAUAAAUAUAUUUGUAUCAUUGUAUUUAACUAAAUAGCAAAGAAGAGAAGAAAGUUCGUCGGAGAUGGCGUUUUCUGGCCAAGAAGAGAAGAAAGUUCGUCGGAUCCGUACAACAAAUUUAUGAUAAGAGUUCAUCAAAAUGCUAAUUUUCGUUCGAAAAAUUCACUCUUUUCUGUUUUCUGGCUGCCUUCCACUCUAUUCUAAUGUCUCGUUGGUAAUCAAUACUAGGGUGUGUAUCUUGAGUUGCUCGAAGAGAGAAAGAUUCUAAUGUCUCGUCGGCCAUCAAUACUAGGCCAUGUAUCUUGAGUUGCUCGAAGAGAGAGAGAAUGGAGAGAGAGAGAGAGAAAGAAGAAAAAUAAUGAGAAAGAAUCGUGUGUUAAUUGAAUGAAAGAGAGAAGAAAAACAUAAAUAGCGUAUUUCAUGCCUCAAUGAUGUAGUUAACAAGUAAAAGUUGUGUCGCACGUUUCUAACACAUCCCUAACGGUAACAAAAUCCCCAAUUCACAUUGCUUUCUUUUCCUAAGCGCCACCCAUGGAGAGGGCGUCUGGCCCUAUUCUGGCGCUUCCAGAACAACCACUCGAUCCCUCAGGCAUAGCGUUGAAACCCCAGGAUAUAUCCCCACCCAAAACUAACUAUCUGAAUGCAGUUGCUGGAUCAUCACCGGGCUCCAACCACUAUCGAUAAUCUGUCAAGGCGGAGAUUACAACCCAUAAUGGUAUGCCGGUGGUCAUAUUUGACUUGGAGGACUACUAUGGUAUCAUGGCAGAGGAAUGCAAAUAUACUAUCAAUGACCGAUUUCUAAAAACAUGACCCCAAAUUGAAACUAUACUGGCUAUAGUCAAGGAAACCAUCCCAAUCAAAGGCUCAAUUAAAAUCGGAGUCUAAGACAAUAAGAAUGUCUUUAUUGAUAUUUACAACGAAGAGGACUUCAAGACGGUCUACUUUAAACAUGUUAUUGAAAUUGAUGGUCAGCCUGUGUGGUUAAGCAGAUGGACUCCUGACUUCACUCCGGAGGAAGAUAACCCUCUAACUUCGGUAUGGGUUUUACUACCGAAACUCCCAUUUUAUUUACAUACUUGGCAUUACGUGAAACAAAUACCGAGCCCUAUCAGAACUCCAAUGGAAAUGGAUGUCGCUACUAAAGGAAAAACUAGACCAAGCAUGACAAAAGUUCGAAUAAAAAUCGACCUAACUAAACCAAGAUUAAAUCAUGUAUUUGUUGUGUCAAAGGAAAUCGACUAAUCCGCUCCACGGAUAUGAGCAAAAAAUUGAGUAUAAAGGAGUACCUAAAUACUGUAUGCAUUGUAGACUACAACUUUAUUCACUCAACCAAUGAGACAAAUGAGACAUUGAAAGACAAUAUUGCACACCCUCAAACAAAGCAGACUAAAGAACAACUGAUUCCAAAGGAGAUACAAGCAGAGGAUCGGCAAAGGGGCAGAGAUUUUCAAAACAACAAAGAUAUGGACAUCAUCCCAAAAAGAGGAAAGAGUGCUCCUCCAAAACAAGCGUAUAAACCAAAUGGAGCGAUCUUUGGGGUUGAUAAACCUCUAUCUAAUGUCGGGAACGUCAAAACUACGAACUCCAAUGUUAUAAGGAUAGAAGAACCAAACAAGAACCAAGCAAAGGAGAGUGCAAAGGAUAAAAGAAAAGACACAAAUAUAGCAUCUUGUAGUACCUCUCAAAUAAUAGUUCAAGAUGAAGCUAUCCAGAAAAACUUGAAUAUAGAAAGAAGCGGGAUAGUUAUUCCUAUUGAAGAUCCUAAACCUCUUGAAGUCGUCCUAUUUCAAGAUGAUGAAAGGAGACAAGAAGAGGAGAUACAAUGGUGUACUCAGAAACAAAAUACUACAAAGAUGCAGAAACAAAGGGAGAUAUAUCAGAAUACUACCGAGAAAGAAUUAGUUAUUCAUAGUAAGUUUGAUUCUCUCAGGAAGGAUGAUGCCAUAUAGAACAAAAUAGUUGUAAAGGUGUAAGAAUAGAAUAACAAUGAGAAGAACCUGGACAAGUCUCGGAAUAAUAAAGAGCCUCCUGAUGAGUGGGCAGAUGCAGCUAGUACAGAAGAGGAGGAAACAACAGAUGAAGCGUCAUUAGAGGAGGAAACUACAGAUGAAGAAACUGAAGUGUUGCAUUAGAUUGUUGGAGGAAAGAAGAAAGAUAUUAAUGAAGUUCAAGGCCUAACUGGUAUUACUAAUUUAAUGGAGGGAAAACCUGUUGGGGGCAAAUCAAAAAGCAAAAAAUAAGGAAAAGCUAGAGAAUCUCCUAUAAUUAGGGGCCAAAAAAGAAACUCACAAACAACCCUUAAUAUUCUAAAUCAUGUUUAAGUUGCUUAACUGGAAUAUAAGGGGUAUGAAAUCCCAAGCUGCUACAGAAAGAUUAAUCUACAUGGUUAAACUUCAUAAAAUCUCUUUAGUUUCUAUACAGGAACCAUUUAUGCAAGAAACAACUAUUGACUUUUAUAAAACUCUACAAGAGAUCUCAGAUACCUUCUCAGCUAAGCUUUGAUGGAAAUUUAGAACCAGAGAUUCACUUUGGACUGAUUUUAUGAAAGCCAAAUACUCUCAAAGGGUCCACCCAAUGGCCAGAAAAUGGAACUACUCUCACUCACACAGUUGGAGAAGGAUGAUGAAAAUCCAACGCAAAACUGACCACCUAAUUCUUUGGAAGAUAAACUCUGGCAACUCAAACCUUUGGUGGGAUAACUGAUCGGGAAUGGGUAAGCUGGCUCAAUUUGGAACUGCAUCUACCUCAUCAAAGAAUCAGGUAUCCUCUUAUAUCUCUAAUGGUAACUGGAAUACUCUUAAACUCUCUCAAAACCUUCCUUUACAUGUUGUUCAUCAAAUUCAAGGAGUUGAAACUAACUCUCCCAACAUAAAAGAUCAACCAAUAUGGACUGCCUCAAUAGAUGGGAUAUUUAGUUGUAACUUAUCUUGGGGAAAUCUUAGAGAAAUUCACAAUACUUCACUGAUUAAUAAGAUGACUUGGCAUCCAAGAUGCCCGUUUAAAAUUUCUUUCUUCCUUUGGAGGCUACUCAGACAUAAGGUCUCUGUAGAUGGCAACCUAGGCAGAUUUGGCACUCAAUUGGCCUCCAAAUGUUCAUGUUGCAUUAGUUCUAGUUCAGAGAGGAUGAAGAUCACAUGUUCAUCAGCAGCAUGUUUGGUAAAGCGGUAUGGCUCUUCUUCAACCAAAUGUUUGUUAUUGAAAGAGAUCAUAACAACAUUAGGCAGAUGGUCAUUACUUGGUGGAUGGAAAGUGGUCUAAAUGCUUUACAAAAAUUUUCCCUACAGAUCCUACCUGGCAUAAUUGUUUGGCAAAUUUGGAAACCCAGAUGUAAGAGCAGAUUUGAAGGGAUUAGGAUGUCCUCCAGCAGGAUAAUCCUUCACACUACCCAGCAACUCAAUAUUAUUGCUCACAAAUAAUUCCCCGUAGUACCUCCGUUUAUGAAAGGAAAUCAUUUCUUUGAAUUAAUUGAUACUGCACAACCUGCAAUUCAUACUAAUUUUGUUAAGUGGUCCUCCCCACACAAUGGAUGGAAAUUGAACUGUGAUGGAUGCUCUAAAGGCAAUCCAGGCCCUAGUGGAGGGGGAGGUAUUACCAGGGAUGAUCAUGGGAACUUAAUUAAGGCGUAUGCUAUAUCAUUUGGCACGAAUACUAAUAACCUUGCUAAAGCUUUAGCACUGAAAUACGGUAUAAACUGGUGCAUUCAUAAUAAUAUCAAAAAGUUGAGGUGGAAAGUGACUCUCUCAUGCUAGUAAAUUAGAUUACAAACACCAAUAAUAUUCUAUAUAGAUUGCAAGAUGUUGUUUUAGAAAUCAGGAACCAAAUGAAUUACUUUGAAGAAGUUACUAUGAAACACUGCUUCAGGGAAUGCAAUAAGGUAGCAGAUCAUUUGGCUAACUUUGGCUUGAAUUGUAAUGACAUUACUUGGUUCGACAAUUUCCACCAACUUCCCAGGGAGGUUAGAGGAGAAGUUAACAUGGACAAACUCCAAUUUCCUUCUCUUCGUAGCAAAACCAUGAAGAAGAAUUUAUUUUUGAAUCGACAACUUCUUAUGAUGUACCAUUUUGACGUCCCCUAAUAAUAUGUUAGCUUCAUUCGGGAGGACUCUCACUCUGAGAAUCUAUUCCCACUAAAGUUUUGUGAUGUAAAAUAGAUGUAAAGGGGGAGAUUGUUCCUUCCUACUAAAUAUAUAUAGGAUACCUGCUAUGCAGUAUCCUACUUUAGUAAUGCUUUCAUAUUUAUAAGACCUUAUCCAUACUCCAUGCAGGUGGAUAAUUAAUUUUUAAAAAAAUGGCUCAAUGGUAGUAUACCAUAAAUACCUAUUUUUCUAUAAAAUAUAAAAGGUAGCUAUAGAAAAUAAUAAUUUAAAAUAAUUUUGGUUUAUAAUAAAUAGGGUGUAUACAUUUGUGGAGGUAAAAUUUCCUUAAACCCAAUUGAAGCCCUGUUGAUCUCUCUCUCUUGGUAUCCCAUCAUCUCAACGUAAAACAAUGAAUCAAGCAGCGCAAAGAUGUGAAUUAACUCACAAUUUAUUAAAGCAUGAGUGCAGGACAUAGGCUAAUCUAACACUUUAUUAUACUAUCAAACACAAAACGAAAGUUGAGAUUAAAGAUAAGAAUGGACCUCAAUGUAGCUGGAAUUCGAUUGUUUCACAGCUUUGAAACUCGAAAGCUGACAGCACCGCAGACAGGGUGUCGAGCGGAAUUUGGCUCGGCACAAACCGACCGUCACGAGCCAAUGUCACAAAUUUUUCUCGCUUUUUUAAUAAAAGAGAGGAGAGGGUUUCUGCGGUGGUCAUUUGUCACUUUGAUGUAAUGAAGCUCGAUCGGUACCUGUUUGUAUGGUGUUUUUUGACUUUCUGUGGUAGAGGUCAAGACGUUAAUGGAAGAGAUGGUGCGCAGCUAUAUAUAGUACUGACUAUGGCGUUAAUGGGUUAGGUUCUGGUGCUAUAUAUUCAGGUGUGGCUGACAUGGUUCCUCUGCGUGAGUCCGUGAGGUAGAAGAUGUGUAUG
Molecule: long non-coding RNA, 9403 nt
Filed under: Nicotiana tabacum (common tobacco)
Lineage: Eukaryota; Viridiplantae; Streptophyta; Magnoliopsida; Solanales; Solanaceae
Description: long non-coding RNA (NTAB_LNC006252)
Source: RNAcentral